AGCCCUUGACAUGUCCCGUAUGAGAUCCAUCUCUGGUUCUCAUACGGGACAUGUCAAGGGCUGGUAAGGUUCUUCGCGUUGCUUCGAAUUGAACCACAUGCUCCACCGCUUGUGCGGGCCCCCGUCAAUUCCUUUGAGUUUUAAUCUUGCGACCGUACUCCCCAGGCGGGAUGCUUAAUGCGUUAGCUGCGCCACUGACAGGCAAGCCUGCCAACGGCUAGCAUCCAUCGUUUACGGCGUGGACUAC
RNAcentral lists this unclassified non-coding RNA (247 nucleotides) under uncultured bacterium. Its description in RNAcentral is "contains 16S-23S intergenic spacer region". The record is from RNAcentral.